ACGGGAGGCAGCAGUGGGGGAUAUUGCACAAUGGGGGAAGCCCUGAUGCAGCAAUGCCGCGUGAGGGAAGACGGUCUUCGGAUUGUAAACCUAAGUAGUCAGGGACGAAACAAAUGACGUUACCUGAAGAGUAAGCUCCGGCUAACUACGUGCCAGCAGCCGCGGUAAUACGUAGGGAGCGAGCGUUGUCCGGAUUUACUGGGUGUAAAGGGUGCGUAGGCGGGUCUGCAAGUCAGGCGUGAAAUACCGGGGCUUAACUCCGGAGCUGCGCUUGAAACUGUGGAUCUUGAGUGAAGUAGAGGCAGGCGGAAUUCCCAGUGUAGCGGUGAAAUGCGUAGAUAUUGGGAGGAACACCAGUGGCGAAGGCGGCCUGCUGGGCUUUAACUGACGCUGAGGCACGAAAGUAUGAGGAGCAAACAGGAUUAGAUACCCUGGUA
This 437-nucleotide ribosomal RNA is filed under the name uncultured Oscillospiraceae bacterium. RNAcentral's name for it is "bacterial SSU rRNA". It matches the Rfam family "Bacterial small subunit ribosomal RNA", at positions 341 to 792 of the family's 1533-position model. Lineage: Bacteria; Bacillati; Bacillota; Clostridia; Eubacteriales; Oscillospiraceae. The record is from RNAcentral.